Molecule: RNA transcript, 3973 nt
Organism: Eriocheir sinensis (Chinese mitten crab)
Lineage: Eukaryota; Metazoa; Arthropoda; Malacostraca; Decapoda; Varunidae
Gene name: protein yippee-like 5
Exons: 8
Source: RefSeq, a predicted model, not a curated record
CAAGACCUUACCAUAAUAUUACUAGGCUCGUCGACGCUCAAUCUUCGCCCCAAAAAUCCCCCAGGGCUCAAAUCAUCGCCUUUCUCGCCCUAUUUUCGCCUCUAUCGGCCAUCCAGAACUAGAAGAGGAAGCAGAACACCACCAGAACUACUACUACUACUACUACUACUGAUAUGGGCCGGAUAUUUCUGGAGCACCUCGGAGGGACUCGACUAUUCUCCUGUGCAACUUGCUACACUAUUUUGACGAACAGGACCGAGCUCAUAUCUACAAGGUUCACUGGGGCGACUGGCCGAGCUUUCCUCUUCAAACGGGUCGUCAAUCUCACGUACAGCGAGGUCCAGGAUCGCGUCAUGCUAACUGGCAGACACAUGGUGAGAGACGUCUCCUGCAAGAACUGUAGCGCCAAGCUUGGAUGGAUCUACGAGUUUGCUACAGAGGAGAACCAGCGGUAAGUAGUAGUAGUAGUAGUAGUAGUAGUAGUAGUAGUAGUAGAGGUUGAGAAUCCCAUGAAAUAACCCAUUUUCUAUUUUUCCCAUUUUCUUCCUUUUUCCAUCAUAGUAAAACACAGCGAGUAUUGAUAACAUUUCUUUUUACAUCCAAGUGGUUUAGGCGUUUGUGUUGAAAUUGAAGGUUUUGUUUGUGUUGAAAUUAAAGGUUUUGUUUGUGUUGAAAUUAAAGGUUUUGUUUGUGUUGAAAUUAAAGGUUUUGUUUGUGUUGAAAUUAAAGGUUUUGUUUGUGUUGAAAUUAAAGGUUUUGUUUGUGUUGAAAUUAAAGGUUUUGUUUGUGUUGAAAUUAAAGGUUUUGUUUGUGUUGAAAUUAAAGGUUUUGUUUGUGUUGAAAUUGAAGGUUUUGUUUGUGUUGAAAUUAAAGGUUUUGUUUGUGUUGAAAUUAAAGGUUUUGUUUGUGUUGAAAUUAAAGGUUUUGUUUGUGUUGAAAUUGAAGGUUUUGUUUGUGUUGAAAUUAAAGGUUUUGUUUGUGUUGAAAUUGAAGGUUUUGUUUGUGUUGAAAUUAAAGGUUUUGUUUGUGUUGAAAUUAAAGGUUUUGUUUGUGUUGAAAUUAAAGGUUUUGUUUGUGUUGAAAUUAAAGGUUUUGUUUGUGUUGAAAUUAAAGGUUUUGUUUGUGUUGAAAUUAAAGGUUUUAUUUUAUUUUUUAAGGCAAACUUUACUAAAUCGUAAUCUGGGAACUUAUUUUGGUAUUUGCUUCACAUAUACGUCAAGGGUGACUUUGCUGUGUGGCGUCAAGUUAUCUACGAACAUGCUUAACCCGGUAGCAGCGUGGAUCAUGUCUCUUAACCCGGUAGCAUCGUGGAUCAUGUCUCUUAACCCGGUAGCAGCGUGGAUCAUGUCUCUUAACCCGGUAGCUCUGGGGAUCGUGUUUCUUGACCCGGUAGCAGCGUGGAUCAUGUCUCUUAACCCGGUAGCAUCAUGGAUCAUGUCUCUUAACCCGGUAGCAUCGUGGAUCAUGCGUCUUAACCCUUUCAUUGCUAAACACAUGCAGUGGGUGUUGGGCGUAUUUGCUGGUGGUGCUAAACGCUCGCUGUGACCUCCUGCCGCACUCAAAUCUCCCGCGUAUGAGUGUGUUCCAACGCUACUUCUCACAACACAGGAUUGCCAAUUGAGUGUGUUCUUCACUGAAUUUGGUGGAAAAUCACGUCAGCCCAGCGCGGCAAAUCUAUGGACGAGCAACUGGUGGAUGUUCUUGCCCAAUAAAGCGACAUUUUUGCAUAGCUUCCCCUAUCACCUGACAGCUGGCAAUACUGCCCUGCCAGCACCCCAUCACCAAGAGAUCUACAGUAGUUGCUUUACGGCUGACCGUCGCGCACGCAUAAAUGUACAUCUUCACAGGCCACACCCCCUCACCGUGCCUGUACAUUCCCAGGAGAGGCUUACAUCACCGAAUCUUAUGGAUCUUGGCCUCCUCUUUCCAAUGGUGUUUGUGUUUUGUAGCUGUGAUGAAUAGUUUUUGAGAUACAGAGGUUAAAAGACAUCCCCUUCCCACGCUGGGGUGCCCGAGCGUGCCUGAGGGGAUCGUCUCGGUGUGAGCGCUUAGCAAUGAAAGGGUUAAGAAACAUGACCCCUGCUGCUUCCACCACCGGGUUGAGCGUUGCUUGGGUCGUCUGCGAUUGGUCCGUCCUGUGUCCGAGGCUGGCCCUUGAGAAUCACAAGCAAAAAACACUUUAUAUGUCACCAGCUUGCUAGGCCAGUCGUGAAUCCCCUACUCUUUACCCGGGCUUGGGACAGGCACGGGACUCUACAAUGUUAUUCCCGAGGCAGACUUGUAUAGUGUAUAUGUAGAGAGAGAGAGAGACAGAGAGAGAGACAGAGAGAGAGAGAGAGGGAGAGGUGUCUGCCCCAUGAGUUGUGUUACUUUUCGUUAGCCAUCUGAAGUGUUUUGAGGGCUGUGUCUGUGCCGUGGGAAGAGCCUUACUAGUGUGCUGUUCUGUGUGUGUGGCUGUGCUAUGGGAGGAGCCUUACCAGUGUGUGUUCUCCCCAGGUACAAGGAGGGAAAGGUCAUCCUGGAGCGAGCGUUGGUCACGGAGUCGGAUGGCUUUGAGGAACACUUGGGAGAUGACUAAACAGCCUUCUCUCACUUUUUACAUUUAUUCUCUAUCAUUAGCUGUGUUUUAUAAGGGGUUCUGAUUGUCUUAGGGAGCUGGGGGUCUUAGAGGAUUAAGAACAAGUAUGUAACUCUCCUCACACCAAAUCUGAUGGUCCUGAGUGUUGUAGUUUUUGCAUAUUCCAAAAAAAUGUUAACACUUCCACAUUGAAAUUUUUGGUCGUUGCCCCUUGGAAAUUUUGGAUACCUAUUUUGGGGAAUGUUUUUAUAGGGGUUCUGAUUGUCUUAGGGAGCUGGGGGUCUUAGAGCAUUAAGAACAACUAUUUAACUCUCUUCUUAUCAAAUUUUAUGUUCUUAAGUUUUGUAGUUUUUUCACAAUCCCAAAAAAUGUUAACACUUUCAGAUUAAAAUUUUUGGUCGGUCCCCCGUCGAAAUUUUGGAUACCUAUAUUGGGGAAUGUUUUUAUAGGAGUUCUGAUUGUCUUAGGGAGCUGGGGGUCUCAGAGGAUUAAGAACAAGUAUGUAACUCUCUUCACACCAAAUCUGAUGGUCCUAAGUGUUGUAGUUUUUGCAGAUUCUCAAAAUUUUUUCAACACUUCCACAUUAAAAUUUUGAACCAGUACCCAUCAGAAAUUUUGGAGGCCUAUAUAUGGGGUGUAUUUUUAAGGGGUUCUGAUUGUUCUAGGGAUUUGGGAUUUUGGAGGGAUUGAGAAGAAGUAUUUAACUCCCUUCAUGCCAAAUUUCAUGAUCCUAAUCCCUCACAAUUUUUCACAAGCACCAAAAAUGUUCAAAGAUUCAAGACCUCUUACUGCCAAAAAGGAAGUCCUGGAAGCCAUACUCUUUGAUUCUGAUGCAUUUUUUUAAGGGGUUCUGAUUGUCUUAGGGAGCUGGGGGUCUUAGAGCAUUAAGAACAAGUAUGUAACUCUCCUCACACCAAAUCUGAUGGUCCUGAGUGUUGUAGUUUUUGCAUAUUCCAAAAAAAUGUUAACACUUCCACAUUAUAUUUUUUGGUCGGUCCCCCGUCAAAAUUUUGGAUACCUAUUUUGGGGUAUGUUUUUAUAGGGGUUCUCAUUGUCUUAGGGAGCUAGGGGUCUUAGAGGAUUAAGAACAACUAUUUAACUCUCUUCCUAUCAAAUUUUAUGUUCCUAAGUUUUGUAGUUUUUUCACAAUCUCAAAAAAUGUCAACACUUUCAGAUUAAAAAUAUUUGAUGGGUCCCCUGUGGAAAUUUUGGAUACCUAUUUUGGGGUAUGUUUUUAUAGGGGUUCUCAUUGACUUAGGGAGCUGGGGGUCUUAGAGGAUUAAGAACAACCAUUUAACUCUCUUCCUAUCAAAUUUUAUGUUCCUAAGUUUUGUAGUUUUUUCACAAUCUCAAAAAAUGUUAACACCUCCACAUUAAAAUUUUUGGUCGUUCCCA